Molecule: long non-coding RNA, 656 nt
Organism: Hordeum vulgare subsp. vulgare (domesticated barley)
Lineage: Eukaryota; Viridiplantae; Streptophyta; Magnoliopsida; Poales; Poaceae
Exons: 3
Source: RefSeq, a predicted model, not a curated record
UCCGUUAUCUAUCUCUCCCAUGGAAGUAUGUAUUCCACCAUCCCUUCCUCUCUCCAAUCUCUCUCUCCUCGUUGAAACCAGCCCCUUCCUCUCUCCAAUCUCUCUCUCUCCCCCGUUGAAACCAAAGCUAUUGCUCUCUCAAACUAAUGCAAGCAAGUUGCGCCAAGGAUAUGCCAUGGUGAAGGGGUUACUUCCUCACAUUUGUUUUCCCGAUCUAGAUUUGAUUGACUCAUAGCCCAUCUAUGCCCAUCAGGUGAUUCAGAGCACAGCUAUAUCCAUCAGGCCCAUCAGUUGUCGUUGAAGUAGCAGCAUACAUCGGACAUACCAAACAAACAUAGACACUCAUGCAUGGGAUUUCAAAGAUUCAUGAUACUGUGAUUCGAAUUGAGUGAGUAUGUUGAAAGAGCGAAAUGAGUACACGUGCUAAUAGUUACGAAUCUUGGAAUAUACAUGGAUGAAAAAAUUAAUGCGACAAGGUCAGCCAAACUGAUGACAAUUAUUUGGGCCGUGUUGUCCCCGUAACAUCAACAAAUGUCAAGAAUUUGAAAGGUGUGUGUUCAAUAAGGUACAAGUAUUGCUUGCUAUGUGUAUAUUUAUUAUAUAGGACAAUUACUAUGAAGUGCGCACAUAGUACUCGCUAUCAUCUACAAGUGCAA